AUGCCAAGAAGUGUGAUUGCUGCAUUGCACAGUGAGAGGACCCAGUCCUAAGGCAAUCCGCUUUCUGCCAUUAAAGACUAGUUUGCAUUUCUGAAAUUGGACUCAGCAUUUACUCUUCCAUCAUCUGGCUUCCUACCCAACGUAAGUAUUUUGAGAUUCAUCCAUGUUGCUGCAUGUCUCAUUGGUUCAUUCCUCUUGAUUGCUAAGUAGUAUUCCAUCGCAUGGAUGUACCACAGUGGGUUUAUCCAUUUAUCUGCUGAUGGACAUUUGGGUUCUUUUCAGUUUGUGAUUAUAACACAUAAACGUGCUAUGGAGUUCAUGUUUUAAUCUUUGUAUGAACACAUGAUUUCAUUUCUCCUGGGUAUAUACCCAGCUGUCAAAUGCCUAGGUCAUAUGAUAGGUGCAUGUUUAACUAUUUAAGAAACUGCCAGACUGUUUUCCAAAGUGAUUGUAACAUUUUACGUUGUUAUCACCAGCAGCUAUGAGAGUUCCAGGUGUGCUGCGUCAUCCUGGAUGCUUGCCAUGGUCAAUCGUUUUGAGUUUAGAUAUUCCAACAGGUGUGCAGUGGGAUCUCACUAUGGUUUCAGUUUGCAUUUCCCUAACCAAUGAUCCUGAGCCUCUUUUAUGUGCUGCUUUGCCAUCUGGAUAUCUUAUUUGGUGACACAUCUAGUAAAAUCUUUUGCUCAUUUUGGGGAGUUGUUACCUUAGUAUUGAGUUUUGACAGUCCUUUUUAUAUUCUAGAUGCAAGUCCUUUAUUAGAUAUCCAUUUUGCAAAGCCUGUAACUUGUCUUUUUAUUUUUUUAACAGUAUCUUUCAAAAACAGAAGUUCUCAAUGUUGAUGAAGCUCAGUUUAUCAAGUUUUUCCUUUAUGUAUUGUGUUUUUGGUAUUGUGUCUAAGACAUCUUUGCCUGAGAUGAGAAGUUGUAUGGUUUAAGGUUUUACACUUAGGCCUGUGGUCCAUUUUGAGUCCAUUUUGGUCCAUUUGUACACAGUGUAAAGUAUGAAUUAAAGUUUGGUUUAUUUUUUGCAUAUAGAUAUUCAAUUAUUCCAGCACCAUUUGUUGACAGGCUAUUGGUAUGGUCUAAAAGUUUGUAUCCUCUGCAAAUUUGUAUGUAGAGAUCCUAAUCCCCGAGGUGAUUGUAUUAGGAGGUAGGGUGUUUGGGGAUCUUAUUAAGUCAUGAGGGCAGAGCCUUCAUGAAUGCCAUUAGUGCCCUUAUAAAAGAGCCUCAGAGACCUGCCUUGUCCGUUCCACAUUGGGAGGAUGCAGUGAGAAGACUGUGAGUCUAUGAGGAAGCAGAGCCCUGGCCAGACACCGAAUCUGCUGCCACCUUGAUCCUGGACUUCUCAGCCUCCAGAACUGUGAGAAAUACAUUUAUGUUGUUUAGAAGCGUACAGAUUAUGGUAUUUGAUCAUAGCAGCCUGAGUGGACUCAGACAACCGUCCUUUCUCAACUGAAUCGAUGUUGCACAUUUGUUGAAAAUCAAUCGUCCAUAUAUGUGUAGAUCUAUUUCUGGACUGUCUAUUCUGUUUCAUUGAUCUAGUCUAUCUUUGUGCCAAUGCUAUACAGUUUUGAUUACUAAAGAUUAUAAGUUUUAGAAUCAGCUAGUGUAAACAGUGAAAAUCACUGAGAGUUCAGAAGUUAAAGUUGUACUGCGGUUUCAAAUAAGGUACUUAAUGGUCCUUUUUCAUCAUUCAGCAUGAAUAUCCCCUACGUAUCUCUGAAGGUUGAUUUUGUUCUUUAUUUUAAGAAUAAAAUAACGUUGUGAACAGCUUGAACCUGACAAGUUCACUUGAAAGCAUUGCACAGGAAGUGGAUUUCUCAGCAGCCAUUGGUGGGGCCUUGUGACCCCCUGAUAGUGAGCAGCUCUGGGAACAGAACUGACAUGAGUGUCUGGGAGGGGACAUGGGAAGGAUCUGCAUACAAAUUGAAGAUCCAAUUCCUAUAAAUUUUCUAUACAACUGUAUAUUUUAAUAUAUAAUUAAAAUAUAAUUGAUUUUAAGUCUGUC
This 2007-nucleotide long non-coding RNA is filed under the name Pan troglodytes (chimpanzee). RNAcentral's name for it is "long non-coding RNA NONPTRT017331". The record is from RNAcentral. Lineage: Eukaryota; Metazoa; Chordata; Mammalia; Primates; Hominidae.